RNAcentral lists this transfer RNA (82 nucleotides) under Plasticicumulans lactativorans. It matches the Rfam family "tRNA". From Rfam's summary of the family: Transfer RNA (tRNA) molecules are approximately 80 nucleotides in length. Lineage: Bacteria; Pseudomonadati; Pseudomonadota; Gammaproteobacteria; Candidatus Competibacteraceae. The record is from Rfam by way of RNAcentral.
GCCGACGUGGUGGAAUUGGUAGACACGCUAUCUUGAGGUGGUAGUGGCUAAUGCUGUGCCGGUUCGAGUCCGGCCGUCGGCA